UCCCUACGAGAACAUGCCUCUCGCAAAGG
RNAcentral lists this non-coding RNA (29 nucleotides) under Mus musculus (house mouse). Lineage: Eukaryota; Metazoa; Chordata; Mammalia; Rodentia; Muridae. The record is from RNAcentral.